UAAGCUUCUUUGAAUAUUAAUCACAUUACUUUUGUGGCAGAAAACUUCUGCUGUUUUUGUAAUAAGUCAAUUCUAUCUUUUCCCUCUCUCCACCCUUUCCCAUCCUUUUUUUCAGAUGGUACCAAGAAAUCUAGCCAUUGUUUUUGGUCCAACCCUUGUGCGAUCUUUAGAAGAUAAUAUGACACAUAUGGUGACUCACAUGCCUGACCAGUACAAAAUUGUAGAAACCCUUAUCCAACAUCAUGACUGGUUUUUCACAGAAGAAGGUGCAGAAGAGCCUCUUACAACAGUUCAGGAGGAAAACACUGUAAAAUCUCAGCCAGUGCCUAACAUAGAUCCUUUACUGACCGACAUUGGAAGGACGGGCGUAUCUCCUGGAGAUGUAUCAGGUAACUUUGCCUGGGCGGUGGUAACCUGUAGGCUAGACAAACCUACUGGCUUCUAUUAGAAUGAUAAAGUAAAUAAGGCAUAAGUAAUAAUUCACUAUGAUUUUUCUUUUUCUCCUUGUUUUUUCCUUUCCACUAAUGAACUGAUUCUCCUUUUUCUGACUGAUCUUAAGUAUCUUCCAGUGAUUAUAAUGCCAUUGGCAGUGCAUGGAGUUGGAAUGCUUGUUGACAAGUC
Molecule: long non-coding RNA, 621 nt
Organism: Phascolarctos cinereus (koala)
Lineage: Eukaryota; Metazoa; Chordata; Mammalia; Diprotodontia; Phascolarctidae
Source: RefSeq, a predicted model, not a curated record